RNAcentral lists this ribosomal RNA (418 nucleotides) under uncultured anaerobic ammonium-oxidizing bacterium. Its description in RNAcentral is "bacterial SSU rRNA". It matches the Rfam family "Bacterial small subunit ribosomal RNA", at positions 383 to 810 of the family's 1533-position model. The record is from RNAcentral.
GUGAACGAGCGACGCCGCGUGCGGGAUGAAGGGCUUCGGCUUGUAAACUCCUGUCGAGGGGGAGGAAGGCGCAAGCUUGACCUAUCCCUGGAGGAAGCACGGGCUAAGUUCGUGCCAGCAGCCGCGGUAAGACGAACCGUGCGAACGUUAUUCGGAAUCACUGGGCUUAAAGCGCGUGUAGGCGGAUGGGGACGUCGGUUGCUGAAAUCCCCCGGCUCAACCGGGGAACUGGCACCGAAACGCCCCGUCUGGAGGGACGUAGGGGGACCUGGAACUUCCGGUGGAGCGGUGAAAUGCGUUGAGAUCGGAAGGAACGCCCGUGGCGAAAGCGAGGUCCUGGACGUUUUCUGACGCUGAGACGCGAAAGCUAGGGGAGCGAACGGGAUUAGAUACCCCGGUAGUCCUAGCUGUAAACGAU